This 396-nucleotide ribosomal RNA is filed under the name uncultured Rickettsia sp. RNAcentral describes it as "bacterial SSU rRNA". It matches the Rfam family "Bacterial small subunit ribosomal RNA", at positions 29 to 438 of the family's 1533-position model. The record is from RNAcentral. Lineage: Bacteria; Pseudomonadati; Pseudomonadota; Alphaproteobacteria; Rickettsiales; Rickettsiaceae.
AACGAACGCUAUCGGUAUGCUUAACACAUGCAAGUCGAACGGACUAAUUGGGGCUUGCUCCAAUUAGUUAGUGGCAGACGGGUGAGUAACACGUGGGAAUCUACCCAUCAGUACGGAAUAACUUUUAGAAAUAAAAGCUAAUACCGCAUAUUCUCUACGGAGGAAAGAUUUAUCGCUGAUGGAUGAGCCCGCGUCAGAUUAGGUAGUUGGUGAGGUAAUGGCUUACCAAGCCGACGAUCUGUAGCUGGUCUGAGAGGAUGAUCAGCCACACUGGGACUGAGACACGGCCCAGACUCCUACGGGAGGCAGCAGUGGGGAAUAUUGGACAAUGGGCGAAAGCCUGAUCCAGCAAUACCGAGUGAGUGAUGAAGGCCUUAGGGUUGUAAAGCUCUUUUA